RNAcentral lists this ribosomal RNA (207 nucleotides) under uncultured bacterium. Its description in RNAcentral is "partial 16S ribosomal RNA". It matches the Rfam family "Bacterial small subunit ribosomal RNA", at positions 1298 to 1500 of the family's 1533-position model. The record is from RNAcentral.
CUGCAGUCUGCAACUCGACUGCACGAAGCUGGAAUCGCUAGUAAUCGCGGAUCAGCACGCCGCGGUGAAUACGUUCCCGGGCCUUGUACACACCGCCCGUCACACCAUGGAAGUCUGCAAUGCCCGAAGCCGGUGGCCUAACCACUUAUGUGGAAGGAGUCGUCUAAGGCAGGGCAGAUGACUGGGGUGAAGUCGUAACAAGGUAGC